This 252-nucleotide ribosomal RNA is filed under the name uncultured bacterium. Its description in RNAcentral is "partial 16S ribosomal RNA". It matches the Rfam family "Bacterial small subunit ribosomal RNA", at positions 524 to 776 of the family's 1533-position model. The record is from RNAcentral.
UACGUAGGAGACGAGCGUUGUCCGGAGUUACUGGGCGUAAAGGGUGCGCAGGCGGCCCUGCGCGUCGCGAGUGAAAUCUCCCGGCUCAACUGGGAGGGUGGUCGCGAGACGGCAGGGCUUGAGGCUCGGUGAGGGGCGUGGAAUUCCGGGUGGAGCGGUGAAAUGCGUAGAGAUCCGGAGGAACACCAACGGCGUAGGCAGCGCCCUAGACGAGACCGACGCUCAGGCACGAAAGCGCGGGGAGCGAACAGG